GAUGAACGCUGGCGGCGUGCUUAACACAUGCAAGUCGAACGAACGACUAUUAACAGAACCUUUCGGGGCGAAGAAUAUAGAAGUUAGUGGCGGACGGGUGCGUAACGCGUGGGUAAUCUGCCUUUGUCAAAGGAAUAACUAUUCGAAAGAAUAGCUAAAACCGUAUAACAUAUUAAUAGGGCAUCCUAGUAAUAUCAAAACGAUAGUGGACAAAGAUGAGCCCGCGUCUGAUUAGCUAGUUGGUGAGAUAAAAGCCCACCAAGGCAACGAUCAGUAGCCGACCUGAGAGGGUGAACGGCCACAUUGGAACUGAGACACGGUCCAAACUCCUACGGGAGGCAGCAGUGGGGAAUAUUGCACAAUGGGGGGAACCCUGAUGCAGCAACGCCGCGUGAGUGAAGAAGGCAUUCGUGUCGUAAAACUCUGUAGUAGGGGAAGAAAGAAAUGACAGUACCCUAAAAGAAAGCCCCGGCUAACUACGUGCCAGCAGCCGCGGUAAUACGUAGGGGGCAAGCGUUAUCCGGAAUAACUGGGCGUAAAGGGUGCGCAGGUGGUUUAACAAGUUAGUGGUGAAAGGCAUAGGCUCAACCAAUGUAAGCCAUUAAAACUGUUUAACUUGAGUGCAGGAGAGGAAAGUGGAAUUCCUAGUGUAGCGGUGAAAUGCGUAGAUAUUAGGAGGAAUACCAGUGGCGAAGGCGACUUUCUGGACUGCAACUGACACUGAGGCACGAAAGCGUGGGGAGCAAACAGG
Molecule: ribosomal RNA, 751 nt
Filed under: uncultured Filifactor sp.
Lineage: Bacteria; Bacillati; Bacillota; Clostridia; Peptostreptococcales; Filifactoraceae
Description: bacterial SSU rRNA
Rfam family: Bacterial small subunit ribosomal RNA
Source: RNAcentral